Molecule: long non-coding RNA, 1406 nt
Organism: Sinocyclocheilus anshuiensis
Lineage: Eukaryota; Metazoa; Chordata; Actinopteri; Cypriniformes; Cyprinidae
Source: Ensembl
UUUUUGUGGGAGGUCAGAAAGUUGCAUGGUGGGUCCUAAAGUGAUCCGAAUAUUUAAACCCUUGUUUAUUGUAUAAUUUGGUUCUAUGAUUUAACCCAGCACUGUCAGUUUAAAGACCUGGACAGCGUCUUAAGAAAGUCUGGUCAAUGAAACUUUGAAAGGCGUCCAACUGUCCCUAAAAAUAGCAAGUAUGGAUCCUGAAACCAUCGCCUUCUGUUUCCUUCCACUCUCAGUGCCGCAAAGAAGUGCAAUCCGUCAGGUGAUAAACACGUUUGAUGUCGCUUCUCUGUCAGCUCCAAGUUAGCAGAGUAUUAACCAGUAUUUCAAAGGGAAACCUUUGUGGUUCAAUUGGUGUUGAAAGCGCACAAAGUAAUCAGCAGAAUACUGGAGAAGUUUACUGCGUUUGUGGAAGACUGAACGAGGGCAAUUCAUCGGUCUUAUGCCUCUCUUCAUCGAUUAAACAGAGCUCUUAUCUCAUCACCUGGCACCUUUGUUUUGGAUUUGCCAAGAAUUUCCUAAAUCGAGAGUGGGUAUACACGACGGGUUUUAAUCUAAAUCGGGAUCUAUACAUCCAAACUGGGAUCUAUGAGCGGAAAAGUGGCUAAGCCUAAAGAAGAAAAGGAUGCUUCAAAGGAAUGACGUGUUGGUGGAUCUCUGUUUGGAGUUUAAUGACUGGCGACCUUCUUUAAAGAAAAGACCACACCACAGGACACCGCCUGACACCACCGGAGCUCCUCAUUAACUUACAACCAGCUCAACACACACACACACUUAUAUCCACAAUAUAUUCCAUAUAUUUAACAAAUCCACAUACACUUACCUGUAUCAUCAAUAUAAACAUUUCAUAUAUUUAAGAAGCUAUUCUAUAUUAAACUUUAGUAGUAUUACCUAAUCAAUCCAUUAGGCACCAAUUUGUAAGUACGUAUGUGUCAAAAAUCUGACUUGUGUGGGUCUGGUGCUCCGAUAACAUACUGAUUCUCUGUUCAAAGCUUUGCUGCAUUUAGAAUGCAUUUAAAACAUCAAAAUGAUGUUCAUCUAUGCAUCUAUCUACUUUUCUGCAGUGUAGACUGUUUCGUUAAUUAUAACAGGAGAUUGCAUCCUAUUUCUGUGAAUUGGAGGGAUAGUUUUGUCACGGUGCAUCAUUUGUUUUCUACUGCUGAAAGAUCAACAAGCUGUUUAUCCAGACAUCAGGAGACUUGCAUCUCAGGUACACUCACAUGCGCGCACACAGAACUGCUAUUGUCACUCAAACAUUUAAGUGCUCUUUGUUGACAUGUUUGCAUUUUUGAAAGUCCGUAUAGUUUUAUGUACAGUUAGUCAGUGGUUUUCAAGCAAGGCCAACAAUAAUUGAAGGCCCCAUGAUUUUUCCAGUUGUUUGUGAAUUGAUGAAAAGGAUUAAGGAUGAG